This 328-nucleotide ribosomal RNA is filed under the name uncultured Spirochaetota bacterium. Its description in RNAcentral is "bacterial SSU rRNA". It matches the Rfam family "Bacterial small subunit ribosomal RNA", at positions 29 to 351 of the family's 1533-position model. Lineage: Bacteria; Pseudomonadati; Spirochaetota. The record is from RNAcentral.
AACGAACGCUGGCGGCGCGUUUUAAGCAUGCAAGUCGAACGGGAUCCUGGUGCUUGCACCGGGUGAGAGUGGCGAACGGGUGAGUAACGCGUAGAUGAUCUACCUUUUGGUUGGGGAUAGCUCAUGGAAACAUGGGGUAAUACCGAAUAAGAUCCUUUUGCUGUGGCGGAGGGAUGAAAGGGGCUUCGGCCUCGCCGGAAGAUGAGUCUGCGUAUGAUUAGCUAGUUGGUGUGGUAAAGGCGCACCAAGGCGACGAUCAUUAGCCGGCCUGAGAGGGUGACCGGCCACAUUGGGACUGAGACACGGCCCAGACUCCUACGGGUGGCAG